GACGAACCGUACGAACGUUAUUCGGAAUCACUGGGCUUAAAGGGUGCGUAGGCGGCGCGACAAGUUGGGUGUGAAAUCCCUCGGCUUAACCGAGGAACUGCGCCCAAAACUGUCGUGCUCGAGGGAGACAGAGGUGAGCGGAACUUAGGGUGGAGCGGUGAAAUGCGUUGAUAUCCUAAGGAACACCGGUGGCGAAAGCGGCUCACUGGGUCUCUUCUGACGCUGAGGCACGAAAGCUAGGGUAGCGAACGGG
This 253-nucleotide ribosomal RNA is filed under the name uncultured bacterium. RNAcentral describes it as "partial 16S ribosomal RNA". It matches the Rfam family "Bacterial small subunit ribosomal RNA", at positions 524 to 776 of the family's 1533-position model. The record is from RNAcentral.